Long non-coding RNA from Salvelinus fontinalis (brook trout), 4832 nucleotides. RefSeq lists it as uncharacterized. The record is from RefSeq and is a predicted model, not a curated record. NCBI's taxonomy places the organism in Eukaryota, Metazoa, Chordata, Actinopteri, Salmoniformes, Salmonidae. The transcript has 3 exons.
UCAGUAGCAGGAUUUUCUAACUAUUUUUAAAAAAGUUAGCUACAUGCCAUGAAAAAAAGGUUUCCUAAUCAGUUUGAAAAAUAAAUUGAGCCUAACAAGAUUUAGCAGGUGCAGACACACACACAGAGACAGAGCCAGUGGCCGGGUCUUCUGAAGACCACGAGGAAGGAAAUCCCUGGCAGCGUCUCAAAGAACACUUCAGCUUCAAGCAGAGAAGAGGAGACUGUGUAACUAUGGAAUGUAAGCUCUGCUUACCAAAGAUGGUGGAGGUGGCUGCCAACGAAAACUGCAUCAAACUUGAGGAAACAUGUAAUGGAUGGAGGCUGUGCCAGGCUAUUCGGCCCAUACACAAACCGACCCAUGGCCAACCUACGUUAAGACGUGUGUCUGUGUUACCCCAACCUACACACAGCUCAUCUGGCAUUCCUUUGGCAGCAAGAGCCUCUCGGUGGAUGCUGCAGUGUACCAAAGUGGCGUCGGGAGCAACUGCUUGCACGCGCGUUACCACUCCACUAUGUAUCCCUGUCACGCCAUCAGUACAGAUACCAACACAUCUUGACCACCAAAGUCCAUUUGAUGUCACAAAGCUGUCCAGUACUUUAAAAACAUCCUCUCAUGUUGUCCUGGUUUCCAGAAGAGGAUUUCUUCCUUUAUUGACCCCCCUAUAAACGUAACGGACAUAUACCAGGAGCUGUGCCACGCCCGCCAUGUCUGUUGACUCAUCUAGCUUUUACGCAUAUAAUUCACUGGCUUCUAUGCAAAGCAGUAAUUGUUUCAUCUCCUGCCAUGUCACUGCUGCGUCGUGAAACAGUGUUGUUUGAUGAAGGCAUUGUCUGUGUAGUUUUUUUUGGCCUUUUCCCCCAGCAUUGUCCCAGCCAUAUUCACGGCAGCAGGAAGAAUGAAGUCCUCCACAAUAGUAUGGGGCUUGCCAGUCCUAGCCACUCGGUAGCUCACCAUAUAAGACGCUUCUAGCCCCUUCUUAUUAAUGGUAUCUGUUGCUUUUAUACAUGUCUUUCUACUCGAAAGUAGUCUUAAUUCACGCUCAAAAAACUCCCGUAGCUUAUUUUUCAAAUUGGCAUGUUUUGUUUCUAAAUGUCUGCGCAAGAGUGGAGGUUUCAUCAGGUUGUGAGAUAGUACUUUUUCACAUAUAACACACUGUGGCUGAGGAAAGGCACUACUCCCAAUAUAUGUGAACCCCAAAUCAAUGUAGUUCGCCUCUUCGAUGGUCCAAUGUCCCUGUCUGUUCAGUGCUUUCCCGGGUAAGGGGGCAGUAGCUCUUCGCCUGCAUCAUAUUCACAACUGGCAGUGUCCAUGCUAGCUGGGCUAACAACAAAUGUAAAAUUACUGAUAUUAGCAUUGGAUGUGCUCGUGUAAGCAGAACAACUUGUGUCGUCGACAUGUGCAGGUGUAGUACUGCUGGUAGUAGUAGUACAAUCAGUAGAGCUGGUAUGUGUUUCUACGGAAGGAGCAGCAGCUACGUUUGGCUACAUACGGAUCGUGAGUGGAAUUCCUGCGAGAGAGUAAUGGUUAAUGUGAUUGGAUGUUAAUUAUUUGACUAGGCUACCUGUAUUUGACAUUGUGUUGUUAUUUCGCUGAACACUAGAUUGUUUAAUUUUAUUUUUGGCAGUGAAACGAGGCUACUUAGGCAAGAAAAAAAACUCACCCAAAUGUAUAGCCCCGUUGGAAAAUAUAAGUGGACUGUUUGCAAAUGUGAUUAUAUUUUUUGGUGUGUACCCCUGACGGCAUCGCUUACCCCAGUUUGGGAAUACCUGGCCUAUAUGAUAUGAGAACAGAAAUGUAAACAUGGGCAAAUGUGAUCAUGUAUGUCAUACUGAUACUCUACAGUCCUGCCAUGAUCAUUACCUUGUUUAUUAAUUAUUUAUCAAAUAUCUCCACAUCGAUCUAAAUACAUGUAUAUCAUUAAAUACUCAAAACCACGUUUUAUAAUCCGUACAGAUGGUACCUUAGUGGAGUGGUUCCCAAACUGUUGGGGAUAGGUCAGCGGGAGGGGUCCGGGGGUCCCCCCCAAAUAUAAAGGUGACAUUUUGAAAUUGCUGGAAGAGGGCCUGAGUGAAAAAGUUUAGGAACCCAAAUCAAAUAAAACAAAUGGUUAGCAGAUGUUAUUGCAAGUGUAGUGAAAUUCUUGUGCUUCUUGUUCCGACAGUGCAGCAAUAUGUAACAUGUAAUCUAACAAUUCCACAACAACGACCUAAUACACACAAUUCCAAGUAAAGGAAUGGAAUAAGAAUAUACACUACCGGUCAAAAGUUUUAGAAACAACUACUCAUUCAAGGGUUUUUCUUCAUUUUUACUAUUUUCUACAUUGUUCUAAAACUUUUCACCGGUAGUGUAAACAUAUGGAUAUGGAUGAGCAAUGACAGAGCGGCAUAGGCAAGAUGCAAUAGAUGGUAUAAAAUACAGUAUAUACAUAUGAGAUGAGUGAUGGAAGAUAUGUAAACAUUAUUAAAGUGAUUAGUGAUCCAUUUAUUAGUGGCCAGCAGACUCUGUGUUAGUGAUGGCUGUUUAACAGUCUGAUGGCCUUGAGAUAGAAGCUGUUUUUCAGUCUCUCGGUCCCAGCUUUGAUGCACCUGUGCUGACCUCACCUUCUGGAUGGUAGCAGGGUGAACAGGCAUUGGCUCGGGUGAUUGUUGUCCUUGAUGAUCUUUUUGGCCUUCCUGUGACAUCGGAUACUGUAGGUGUCCUGGAGGGCAGGUAGUUUACCCCCGGUGAUGCGUUGUGCAGACCUCACCACCCUCUGGAGAGCCUUGUGGUUGUGGGAGGUGCAGUUGCCGUACCAGGCGGUGAUACAGCCCGACAGGAUGCUCUCAAUCUGUAAAAGUUUGUGAGAGUUUUAGGUGACAAGCCAAAUUUAUUCAGCAUCCUGAUGUUGAAGAGGCACUGUGUGGGUGGACCAUUUCAGUUUGUCCGUGAUGUGUAUGCCGAGGAACUUAAAACUUUCCACCUUCUCCACUGCUGUCCCGUCGAUGUGGAUAGAGGGGUGUUGCCUCUGCUGUUUCCUGAAGUCCACGAUCAUCUUUUUUGUUUUGUUGACGUUGAGUGAGAGGUUGAUUUCCCGACACCACACUCCGAGUGCCAUCACCUCCUCCCUGUAGGCUGUCUUUUCGUUGUUGGUAAUCAAUCCAAUUACUGUUGUGUCAUCUGCAAACUUGAUGAUUGAGUUUGAGGCAUGCUUGGCCACGCAGUCAUGGGUGAACAAGAACUACAGUAGGGUGCUGAGCGUUGAGGAUCAGCGAAGUGGAGGUGUUGUUUCCUACCUUCACCACCUGGGGGCGGCCCGUCAGGAAGUCCAGGACCCAAUUGCACAGGGCAGGGUUGAGACCCAGGGCCUCAAGCUUAAUGAUGAGCUUGGAUGGUACUAUGGUGUUAGUCAAUGAACAGCAUUCUUACAUAGGUAUUCCCCUGCCUUUGUGUAAAGGGUCAUUAUUGAGGAAAAACAGAAGAGACAAUAACAGAACAUAAAUAAAAGCUUACUAUAAGGAAAUUUUCCACAGUCUCUCUCCUGGUUUUCUAUGAACAAGGUGGGAUUACGUUGUGACCAGCCACUCAACAGCACCUCUCAGAAAAACAUAACCCUCUCACUUUGUGUUUGUUGUUGGCUGGAGAGAGAGAGACUGCCUGCAGGUUAGACUGUGUGUGUGAGAGAAAGAGAGAGAGGGUGAGUGUGGCAGACAUACCUGUCAGUGCCACAGCUGGUUCUCUCUGUGGCUGCAGGGCUCUGGCUGGAGCAGUGUGACACCCAGAAUCACAGCACCGCACCACAGGGCCUGGGGUCCCGACACACACACAGAUGUAUGCAAAAAUAGAGCGCAUUGGCCUGAGGUCCAAAGACACCUUCUCCUGGCCCUAUCCCUUUCCACCUAUCACAGUGAGGCACCAUUACGUCCCCUCCCUUCUCCACAAUGAUCCCCCACUCUCCAGACAAAAUAAAGACAUAACACACCCAUGACAACAUUGGUAGCUAAGGCCCUUCCCUUUCUCUUUACACACACACCUGGAUCGUCCCCCUUCCCUAGGCAUUGUCACAUCCUGAUCUGUUUCACCUGUCCUUGUGCUUGUCUCCACCUCCUCCAGGUGUCACCCAUCUUCCCAAUUAAAUACAGGGUAUUUAAACCUGUGUUUUCUGUCUGUCUGUGCCAGUUCGUCUUGUAUGUUCCAAGUCAACCAGCAUGGUUUCCCCGUGCUCCUUCCUUUUCUAUUCUCUUUUGCUAGUCCUUCCGGUUUUGACCCUUGCCUGUUUUCUGGACUCUGUACGCGCCUGCCUGACCAUUCUGCCUGCCCUGACCUCGAGCCUGCCUGCCACACUGUAUCUCCUGGACUCUGAACUGGUUUUGACCUUUUGCCUGUCCACGUCCAUUCUCUUGCCUACCCCUUUUUGGAUUAUUAAUAAAUAUUAAAGACUCAAACCAUCUGCCUCCAGUGUCUGCAUCUGGGUCUCGCCUUGUAGGCUGAAACUCAGCCUCCAUAACCCCCUGCCAUCCUUAUGACUGUCACCUCUCCUCUAUGGAUGCUACAUGUCCCCUGUCACCGCCCACUCUCUCUGCUGGCACGGACAGCUUACGCACACACACCAACACACACAUACUGUACAUAAAACCCAUUGCACCUACUAGAGAGGUAGUAGACAAUGGAGGUCUGGAUUACCAUGGUUCUUAUCAGAAAACCUAAAACAUCCACCAAAAUAUGUGGGUAAACUCACAUGUGAACAGGACAGAACAGAUGGCAUGGCAAUGGAAGGACUAUCAUCUUGAAGAAGAGUGAGAAACACAAGAAGAGUGAGAAACACAAGAGUGAGCAAAGGAGAAAUAUGAAAC